Herpailurus yagouaroundi (jaguarundi) is the source of this 461-nucleotide long non-coding RNA. RefSeq lists it as uncharacterized. The record is from RefSeq and is a predicted model, not a curated record. NCBI's taxonomy places the organism in Eukaryota, Metazoa, Chordata, Mammalia, Carnivora, Felidae. The transcript has 2 exons.
AGGCCAGGGCGCUCACCAGGGCUAGGUACCUAUUUGGAAAGGGCGGUGGCUUCGUAAGGCAGCGGCGGGCUCCCGCGUGGACCGGCCAAGGGGCCGGGCUGAGGGUCCUCGCCACGCAGACGGCACGUGCACAUACGUACCCGCAGUGUCUCCCCAUGACCUCAAGCACAAAGGUCCUCUGGUGGCUGCAAAAGACACAAGGAAACAUCCACUUACCACCCCUGGGAACAGCAUGAAAAGCACAGAGAGAGGCACUGUGACAGCCAAGUCAGAAGCAAAGCCUGCUUCCUGCCGAUGGCAGUGCCUAAGUUCAGAGAGCGCCCACUUUCUACAAGAUGCUACACCGCAGCCCAGAACGCCCACCAGGGGACCUCCCAGGGUCGGGACUGAGGUCUACACCGCAGCACAGAACGCCCAUCUCGGGACCUCCCGGGGUCAGGACUGAGGUCUACACCGCAGCC